GAGUUCACUUUCUUUCUCUCCCCCGCGCUCCCCCUCUCCCCGCCCGCCGGCCCCUCCAGCCUCCUCCAAGGCGGCGGACCAGGCCGGGCCGGAGUUUUCGGGGUUCAGCCCGCGAGCGGGAGGACCGGGGAGGCGAGGGAGGAGGAAGGCGAGAAGGGCCAGAUCGCGGGAGAGCCCAAUCACGGGGCGAGCUGGACCUGGCUGUGAUCAUUUAUAAUCCUUGACUCCUCCGCUCCGCCACUUGUCAAGAUGACAGGGGUCAUCCGUGAAUAACACUUCACGCUGAUGAAUGGCUCUUGCCGGCUUUCGGCUCUGAUGAGGGGUCUGCCCGCCGCGGAUCGCAAACACUAAUGAACUUACUGCGCCAUUUGAAAUUCACACGCACCAACAAAGUGCGGGGGGUGGGCAUUUCAGGUCAGCUGAGUCACCCGAGGAGGUGGCAGUGCAAGACACUGCCGGGAAGACGGAUUCCGAGGCAGAAGGGUGUAAUUAAGGAUUUCCACCCCCGCAGUUCCAUCCUUUGAGGCCGUUAGGAAAAGCUGAUGUUGUGCAGUGCCAAACUACCACACGCUUCCUCCUUCAGAUGAAUCCCUGGAAAGCAGAGCGGCAGCUCGCUACGUGACCAUCAUGCUUUUUUACCUCACUGAGCUGUUGUCAAGAGAGGGCGGGGAUGGCGGGCAGCUCACGUCGUGCCCUCCGCAGCAAUAAAAACUGGAGCGGGAGAAGAAAUGCAAGACAUCGCUGUCUGUUUUGCAAGCCUCUGGCCGCUCUCAGCAAACUCUGCCCGGCGCGGCUGGUGACUUUGCGG
Molecule: non-coding RNA, 808 nt
Filed under: Pan troglodytes (chimpanzee)
Lineage: Eukaryota; Metazoa; Chordata; Mammalia; Primates; Hominidae
Source: RNAcentral